AACGAACGCUGGCGGCAUGCCUAACACAUGCAAGUCGAACGAGACCUUCGGGUCUAGUGGCGCACGGGUGCGUAACGCGUGGGAACCUGCCCUUAGGUUCGGAAUAACUCCCCGAAGGGGUUCCAAUUCCCGGUUAUUGCUUCCGGCCAAAAGUUUUUUCGCUUUUGGAUGGGCCCGCGUUGGAUUAGCUAGUUGGUAGGGUAAAAGCCUACCAAGGCGACGAUCCAUAGCUGGUCUGAGAGGAUGAUCAGCCACACUGGGACUGAGACACGGCCCAGACUCCUACGGGAGGCAGCAGUGGGGAAUAUUGGACAAUGGGCGAAAGCCUGAUCCAGCAAUGCCGCGUGAGUGAUGAAGGCCUUAGGGUUGUAAAGCUCUUUUACCCGGGAUGAUAAUGACAGUACCGGGAGAAUAAGCUCCGGCUAACUCCGUG
RNAcentral lists this ribosomal RNA (433 nucleotides) under uncultured bacterium. RNAcentral describes it as "partial 16S ribosomal RNA". It matches the Rfam family "Bacterial small subunit ribosomal RNA", at positions 29 to 507 of the family's 1533-position model. The record is from RNAcentral.